UAACAGGAUUCCCUUAGUAACUGCGAGUGAAGUGGGAAGAGCUCAAAUUUAAAAUCUGGCAGCCUCCUUUUUGCUACUUGGCUGUCUGAGUUGUAAUCUAGAGAAGUGCUUACCCGUGCUGGACCGUGUAUAAGUCUCCUGGAACGGAGUGUCACAGAGGGUGAGAAUCCUGUCUUUGACACGGACUGCCAGCGCGCUGUGGUGUGCUCUCAAAGAGUCGAGUUGUUUGGGAAUGCAGCUCUAAAUGGGUGGUAAACUCCAUCUAAAGCUAAAUACGGGCGAGAGACCGAUAGCGAACAAGUACCGUGAGGGAAAGAUGAAAAGGACUUUGGAAAGAGAGUUAAACAGUAUGUGAAAUUGUUGAAAGGGAAACACUUGAAGUCAGUUGUGUCAG
This 394-nucleotide ribosomal RNA is filed under the name Amanita madagascariensis. Its description in RNAcentral is "partial 25S ribosomal RNA". It matches the Rfam family "Eukaryotic large subunit ribosomal RNA", at positions 66 to 441 of the family's 3401-position model. Lineage: Eukaryota; Fungi; Basidiomycota; Agaricomycetes; Agaricales; Amanitaceae. The record is from RNAcentral.